RNAcentral lists this long non-coding RNA (1390 nucleotides) under Phasianus colchicus (ring-necked pheasant). RNAcentral's name for it is "lncRNA (ENSPCLG00000015838.1)". The record is from RNAcentral. Lineage: Eukaryota; Metazoa; Chordata; Aves; Galliformes; Phasianidae.
GGCAAGAAGUACAAGAAGUAAUUCAUGUACAGACCACCCUCUUUACAUGAUCCCUUCUUUGAAGAGAUUAUCUCAUCACUUUCUGUUUCUCUCCUGGUAAGCACUGCUGCAGCACGUCUGCUCCUUUACUUCUUCCUACUCUUUUGCAACGUGCUGUUCAACACAACUGCAGUGAAGAAAAUACUCCUAAAGGAUUUUUUCUUCUGGGCUUUCAUUGUGUUUCCAAGGCGUACCUUCAAAAUUUUAAAUGCUACGCUGAGAUCUUGGCCGUGCAAAUGCUGGAGAUUUGUCAAGAACGUCCUCUGGGAGCCUGUGAUCUGUUUCAGUGGCAACAGCAUCCAUGAAGUUCCAGUUUGCUGCCCCUUCCUGGCUGUUAUGGAUGCGCUGUGAAUUCUGCAGUCUUUGGUACCCAACACAAACAGGUAAGCAGUCACCCAACACACUGCUUCCACUUUAUUGGAGGAGGUUGUUUUACAGCAUUCACUUCAGUCACGAUACCUCUUGACUGAAGUCCUUCAUUUGCUAUGCGGUCAUUUACAUUCUGUUGUGAUCUAGGUUUAGUUUAUGCUUCCUGAAUUUCGUCUGAGUGGCGGUAUUCCCUCUUGACUCAGUCACAUACCUCUAAGUUGUCAUAUAUGUUUUCACCUCCUGUCAACAUUCAUGUUUCACGCACCCUUUUCCCAGGAAAUCUCAUGUGCUGAUAACAGGCCAGCAGGUGUUUCCUACCAAAUGUUGUGGCUGCUCAUCUCCUCUUCCAGCCUCACCUGCCUUUCCCAGAACAGACAGAUUAUAUUCAGAAUAUCUUGCAGAGUCCUGAGAAAUAAUAUCCUAUAGCACAGGAAAGCACAGACAGUCAUUUUCUUUCCUGUUGUACCCAUUUUAGAGAUUUGGCUACCUUUAAAUCAUGCUCUUGUUUCAGAAGUUCCUUUGCCUCCUUAUGCCUCACUUGUAGAAGCAGCUGCUGAAAUACCUGAACAGCCUUCGGAAGUAGCUUCUUUUGGCUGUUCACAGAGUAAAGCCCAUACCUGCAGGCAAAAAAUUCUUAGCUAUUAGAAAAAUCCCAUUUUAUUUUCAUUGUUGUGAAAUGGCCUACACAGAUAUCAAGGUGGUUUUCUUUUGUUUGCUUGUUUUUGUUUUUAAAUCAAAUGAAAUAAUUUUCUUUGUCAGGACUGAUUUGUUAGCAUGUCAAAUGCAUAGAAACAAAUCUUCUGAUCAUUCCCCUUGCACUUAUAUUUAGUCUGUGUUUCUCCAAUUCUUCAGGAGGAAGACCUCCAUAUUUUGCUAGUCUUACCGAUACAGGCAAUGUCAGAAUCCAAAUGGAAGCUGGCUUUUGUCCAUCUUCUGUCUCACAAAUACGGAUUACUUUUUCUCCCAUAUCAGUUUUGAAUGU